This 466-nucleotide ribosomal RNA is filed under the name Centipeda noxia. RNAcentral's name for it is "bacterial SSU rRNA". It matches the Rfam family "Bacterial small subunit ribosomal RNA", at positions 28 to 471 of the family's 1533-position model. Lineage: Bacteria; Bacillati; Bacillota; Negativicutes; Selenomonadales; Selenomonadaceae. The record is from RNAcentral.
GACGAACGCUGGCGGCGUGCUUAACACAUGCAAGUCGAACGGAGCGAAUGAAAGCUUGCUUUUAUAAGCUUAGUGGCAAACGGGUGAGUAACACGUAGGCAACCUGCCGACAGGAUGGGGACAACAUUCCGAAAGGAAUGCUAAUACCGAAUGAAGCGAAGGAGAGGCAUCUCUCCUGCGUGAAAGAUGGCCUCUAUUUAUAAGCUAUCACCUGUCGAUGGGCCUGCGUCUGAUUAGCUGGUUGGUGAGGUAACGGCUCACCAAGGCGACGAUCAGUAGCCGGUCUGAGAGGAUGAACGGCCACAUUGGGACUGAGACACGGCCCAGACUCCUACGGGAGGCAGCAGUGGGGAAUCUUCCGCAAUGGGCGCAAGCCUGACGGAGCAACGCCGCGUGAGUGAAGAAGGUCUUCGGAUCGUAAAAGCUCUGUUGAUUGGGGAACGAAACCGUGCCCUAAAUGCGAAAU